CGUGGUGGCGGAGAUCGUCCCAUGCCGUUAGCCCGAGGCAGUGCCGUACUCCUCGUGAACACGGACCAGCGGCGGUUGGACUGGAGCCAAAAGGCAAUGGGGAAGGUGAGUUGAUGUGGGCCUGUCUCACAUUGACAGCUUAUAGCCCUAGCUGCAUGGUGCUCCGGCCUGACCGAGGAAGUUGGGCAGCCCUUGCCCAYUGUGGUACACGCCGAAUGGCGGGGCCUCCCAACACGAGCUAGCCGUGCGGUGUGGACUGCAYGCAGUGCUCACCGUGGCGGUGAUCUCGUGGUG
Molecule: ribosomal RNA, 294 nt
Filed under: Fascaplysinopsis reticulata
Lineage: Eukaryota; Metazoa; Porifera; Demospongiae; Dictyoceratida; Thorectidae
Description: partial 28S ribosomal RNA
Source: RNAcentral